GAUGAAGAACGUAGCGAAAUGCGAUAAGUAAUGUGAAUUGCAGAAUUCAGUGAAUCAUCGAAUCUUUGAACGCACAUUGCGCCCCUUGGUAUUCCGAGGGGCAUGCCUGUUCGAGCGUCAUUAUAACCCCUCAAGCUCAGCUUGGUGUUGGGGCCUGCUGCACUGGCAGCCCUUAAAAUCAGUGGCGGCGCCAUCUGGCUCUAAGCGUAGUAAUUCUUCUCGCUAUGGAGUCCUGGUGGAUGCUUGCCAUCAACCCCCAAUUUUUCUAUGGUUGACCUCGGAUCAGGGAUACCCGCUGAACUUAAGCAUAUCAAUAAGCGGAGGA
RNAcentral lists this unclassified non-coding RNA (325 nucleotides) under soil metagenome. Its description in RNAcentral is "partial contains 5.8S ribosomal RNA, internal transcribed spacer 2, and large subunit ribosomal RNA". The stretch from base 1 to 120 matches the Rfam family "5.8S ribosomal RNA", at positions 35 to 154 of the family's 154-position model. The record is from RNAcentral.